GCCUUCGGGUACAAUUGAGACAGGUGGUGCAUGGUUGUCGCCAGCUCGUGUCGUGAGAUGUUGGGUUAAGUCCCGCAACGAGCGCAACCCUUGUGUUUAGUUGCAAACAGGUCAAGCUGUGCACUCUAGACAGACUGCCGUGGACAACACGGAGGAAGGUGGGGAUGACGUCAAAUCAUCAUGCCCCUUAUGAUCUGGGCUACACACGUGCUACAAUGGCCGGUACAACGGGCAGCGAAGGAGCGAUCCGGAGCGAAUCCUAAAAAGCCGGUCCAGUUCGGAUUGCAGGCUGAAACUCGCCUACAUGAAGUUGGAGUUGCUAGUAAUCGCGAAUCAGAAUGUCGCGGUGAAUGCGUUCCCGGGCCUU
This 367-nucleotide ribosomal RNA is filed under the name uncultured Fusibacter sp. Its description in RNAcentral is "bacterial SSU rRNA". It matches the Rfam family "Bacterial small subunit ribosomal RNA", at positions 1016 to 1382 of the family's 1533-position model. The record is from RNAcentral. Lineage: Bacteria; Bacillati; Bacillota; Clostridia; Eubacteriales; Fusibacteraceae.